GACGUCUAGAUCGAGCAUUCGCUGAUGAUGAAGGUCAUCGAUCGUAACGUCUGUGUAGGAGACCCAAGUACAGCGUUACUGCUGUACCUGACGGGUAACGUAUCCAGUAAGGACGUGGCUAGCUAGCGUGUCAGCAGCCGCGGAGUGAUUCGUAGGGUGGCAUGCGAUUAUACCGGAAAUAUAUUGGGCGUAAAGCGGCGGGCAGGCCGGUCUUCUUUAAUUCUGGAUGUGGAAAGUGCAAGGGCGUCAAUCGCGGAAGGGGUCAUUUUGGAAAUCUCGGGGAACUUUGAGUGCAGAAAGAGAAAAAAACGGCAAUUACCCCUUGUACCCGGUUAAAUUCGUAGAGAUGUUGGAGGAAACACCAAGUGAGCGAAGGGCGGCUUUUUGGUCUGUAACUCGUCCCUGAGGCGCGGACAAGCGCGGGGAGCAAACAGGGUUAGAUAUCCCUGGUAGUCCACGCCGUAAACGAUGAGUGCUAAGUGUUAGAGGGGUUUUCCGCCCUUUAGUGCUGCAGCUAACGCAUUAAGCACUCCGCCUGGGGAGUACGGUCGCAAGACUGAAACUCAAAGGAAUUGACGGGGGGCCCGCACAAGCGGUGGAGCAUGUGGUUUAAUUCGAAGCAACGCGAAGAACCUUCCCAGGUCUUGACAUCCUCUGACAACUCUAGAGAUAGAGCGUUCCCUUCGGGGGACAGAGUGACAGGUGGUGCAUGGUUGUCGUCAGCUCGUGUCGUGAGAUGUUGGGUUAAGUCCCGCAACGAGCGCAACCCUUGAUCUUAGUUGCCAGCAUUUAGUUGGGCACUCUAAGGUGACUGCCGGUGACAAACCGGAGGAAGGUGGGGAUGACGUCAAAUCAUCAUGCCCCUUAUGACCUGGGCUACACACGUGCUACAAUGGAUGGUACAAAGGGCUGCAAGACCGCGAGGUCAAGCCAAUCCCAUAAAACCAUUCUCAGUUCGGAUUGUAGGCUGCAACUCGCCUACAUGAAGCUGGAAUCGCUAGUAAUCGCGGAUCAGCAUGCCGCGGUGAAUACGUUCCCGGGCCUUGUACACACCGCCCGUCACACCACGAGAGUUUGUAACACCCGAAGUCGGUGGAGUAACCGUAACGAGCUAGCCGCCUAACAUCCAAGUC
RNAcentral lists this ribosomal RNA (1133 nucleotides) under Bacillus sp. (in: firmicutes). RNAcentral describes it as "bacterial SSU rRNA". It matches the Rfam family "Bacterial small subunit ribosomal RNA", at positions 377 to 1473 of the family's 1533-position model. The record is from RNAcentral. Lineage: Bacteria; Bacillati; Bacillota; Bacilli; Caryophanales; Bacillaceae.